GGGGUUGUAGCUCAGCAGUAGAGCACUUGCCUUAUAUACAUGAGGCACUGAGUUUGAUUCCCAGCACCA
RNAcentral lists this transfer RNA (69 nucleotides) under Ictidomys tridecemlineatus (thirteen-lined ground squirrel). RNAcentral describes it as "Spermophilus tridecemlineatus (thirteen-lined ground squirrel) tRNA". It matches the Rfam family "tRNA". Rfam says of the family: Transfer RNA (tRNA) molecules are approximately 80 nucleotides in length. Their secondary structure includes four short double-helical elements and three loops (D, anti-codon, and T loops). Lineage: Eukaryota; Metazoa; Chordata; Mammalia; Rodentia; Sciuridae. The record is from Rfam by way of RNAcentral.